GCAUAUCAAUAAGCGGAGGAAAAGAAACUAACAAGGAUUCCCUUAGUAACGGCGAGUGAAGAGGGAAGAGCUCAAAUUUUAAAUCUAUCAUGUUGUACAUGAUCGAGUUGUAAUUUGAAGAAGCGUUUUCUCGUACUUUAUGAUCAGUAUAAGUUCUCUUGGAACAGGACAUCAUAGAGGGUGAUAAUCCCGUCUGUUACUGAUUGUGAGGUUCGUUUAUGAUACGCUUUCAAAGAGUCGAGUUGUUUGGGAUUGCAGCUCCAAAUGGGUGGUAAACAUCACCUAAGGCUAAAUAUUUGCGAGAGACCGAUAGCGAACAAGUACCGUGAGGGAAAGAUGAAAAGAACUUUGAAAAGAGAGUUAAAAAGUAUGUGAAAUUGUUGAAAGGGAAACGAUUGAAGUCAGUCGUGCAGUCAUCAAUUCAGCGGUUAACAUUUUAUGUUUCCGUGUAAUUUGGUGUCUGUUGGUUAGCAUCAAUUUUGAUUGUUAUAAAAAGGUUAAGGGGAUGUGGCUCCUUCGGGAGUGUUAUAACCCUUAGCGUAAUGUGACGAUUAGGAUUGAGGUUUGCAACGAAUACCUUUUAGGGCAGUUUCACCUGGCCUCUCGUGGAAUUAUAGAUAGUUAAGAGCAUGCUCUUACUGUUUAUGAUUCUACGAAAAGGUUGGAGUGUAAAANUAAUUCGUUAAGGAUGUUGACGUA
RNAcentral lists this ribosomal RNA (699 nucleotides) under uncultured Glomerales. RNAcentral describes it as "LSU rRNA". It matches the Rfam family "Eukaryotic large subunit ribosomal RNA", at positions 38 to 633 of the family's 3401-position model. The record is from RNAcentral. Lineage: Eukaryota; Fungi; Glomeromycota; Glomeromycetes; Glomerales; Glomeraceae.